This is a long non-coding RNA of Aedes albopictus (Asian tiger mosquito), 6099 nucleotides long. RefSeq lists it as uncharacterized. The record is from RefSeq and is a predicted model, not a curated record. Lineage: Eukaryota; Metazoa; Arthropoda; Insecta; Diptera; Culicidae. The transcript has 2 exons.
AAGUAAAAUGCUCGGGCCGAGCGCAGCGAUUUUCGUCACUUCGUGUCCAGCCAACGAGAGACGGUUUGGGCUAGAGCCGAGGUUGUCAUCGGCGAACGAACGCACAGCGAAAGCAGACGAUGUGAGCAGUUCCCGACAGUGGUGUUGUAGGUCGCAUGAGUUUUAUUCUGUGGGCUGUCAUGAACCAUGCAUUCACAAGGCUGUCAUGGGAAUAAGAGUGUGACAGCCAUCAAAACAAGGAUCGGUAAAUUCGCCUCACUCCAUUCAUAUUCACUCCUCUUUGCUGAAGCGAAUCGAGAAUGAUGCAGCAAACGGAUAGUCAUGAACAAACACGCAACCCCAUCACCAGUGAGAAGCGAUGCGCAAGCUGGUUGACAUGGAUAUUCGUGGCCGAUCGUCGCAGUUUGGAUCGCAAGCGAAUGAAUGAAUAGUGCCAUUUACACUUAUCAAUUAAUUGAUUCAACCAAGAGGUUCAAUCCUUCCUUCAACUUCAUCAAGAAACACAAAUUGAUAGAAAUAUUGCUAAAUGUAUUGCUUGCAUUUUUAUUGCGAAGAAGAUGGAUGAUAAUGUUGAAUCUUGAUAUAAAUACUGACCAACCUGCAAAAGCGAGAUUGAGGUUGGUGUUUAUAUCUUCAAUAAUUUCCCCUCCGAAAGAUUGAUCCAACCACCGCUAUCAUCCAGUUUGACCAAACCAUCAAGAUCAUCCAAGUCCGUCAAACUUUCCCCUUGAGUUGUUUUAUUCGAUCAAUCCAGCAGGGUAAAAGAGUCAGCAGAUUGAGCGAAGACCAUCCCAUCAGUGAGGAAGAGAUAGCAAUUCACCAACAUUCAGCGCGUGGUUCACGGCGUUCAUGGUGGCCAGCUCAAUUGAAUUUUAUGGAAUGCUUUGAAAGCAAAUUUUUAGAAAUAAAGUGUCACGUUUUUGCAUUGUAAAUAAAAUAAAGACUUGAUCAUUAGAAAAGUGCAAAUUUCUAUAUUUCACUUGCUUAUUCAAUUCCAUUAAUGAUUAUGAAAAAAAAAAUGUUUUAAUAAUUCUGGUGAUUUACCACGCCAUAUUCGAUUUUUUGUAAGCAUUCAUAAACUCUUAUUUAUUGAACCCAAUCUCUCGGAUGAGUAUGAUGAAUUGGUAAAUAGUGGAUCUAUUUAUUAAUUCAUCAUGCUAUUUUUCCUAAUGUCUUGAGAAGGUUAAUGUUUUUUUUAAUUUCUAACACAAGUUAUGAACUUCUACCGGUGAACCAAAAUAUUUCAUACAAAAUGGAGCUUAAACAAUAAGUAUGAACAGUUAGGAUCGAACUUCAACAUGUAAAUUUGGAAAUCACUCUAAGGGGCUUUUCCCUCUUACAAAAUUUAAAGUUAAAAAUAAAUAAAUAAUUAAAUAAUAGUUAGGUUCGAACAAGUUUUGAUUUUUGCUAAUGUCAUAGUCAUAGUAAAUAUGUAAAGCAGUAGAGGUUUGGAAAACAAAGGCUGAUAUGAGGUUAUUGCCAUAUUGAUUUGGUUGUUUCGGCUAUAAUUGAAAAUGUUUGCUUUAUCCGUUAUUAACAGGUUUAUCUAUAGCUAGAUUGAUUACUGAACGAUGAUUAAAUUAUAUGCCUUGAGAGUGACUUUGAGUAUUAUUGGCCGUGUUUCUCUCUUUGCCAUAAGAGUUUUUUGUCGUCCAAAUAGCUUGAAACUUAGUUGUAAACAGUUUGAUUGGCAAAAUGUGACGCCAACUUUCAGUUUAUCAGACUUUAGAUAACACCCCAUGACGAAGAGAACAAAGCUGUCGAAAAUAUACUGAGUUUUGUAGCAUUUUAUACUAAAGGCACUAGAAAAUCGCAUAUGCGUUAGUGGAAAUUAAAGAUGUGAUAUAAAACAUGAUGAACCAAUGUUAAAUAUUAAACAUUAUUCCUAAAUAAUCUAAUGAAAAUUUACGAUGCGCAACAUGUGCUUGAAAAUGUUUAUUUGGCAGCGCUUUCUUGUUUCCUUUAUUCCACCAUUCCAUCAAGUAUUUCUUUCUCAAGGAUUAUUGAUGAAAUCACGAGGAUCAAACCAAGUAUCAAUCCAAUAUCUUUCACGAGAGAUAGAUCAAGCCGAGGCUCGAGCAGAGAGAAAAUCUCCCGGCAGUAUGAGAGAAGUUAAUGCAUAAAGAGAAAAAAAAACAAGUGUCCGUGCAUGCUUAUCAUACGUGCACAGCUAGCAAAGCAAAGCCUUUUAGGCCGGAACAAAUUUCAUUUUCUUCUUAUGUCACAAUACUCGUUGGCUCGCUAAAGGGGAGGACAAUAAAUAAUAAAUGUAUGUGACGAAGAAAUACCCAAACAAUUUGGCAAAAUCUAUAAACUCAUCGGAUUUGUUAAGAAAUUUUCUGUGUAACUCUAAUUUCACCUUGAAAUUUUAGAAUUUCUUGAAUAAUUUAUUGUUGUCCCCCCUCAAAAUGUUGAAUAUCGACCAAAAUUUUCCGAGGGGGCGGUGACAUAAGAGAAAAUCGAAAUCUGUGUCAGCCUUAUGGAAUCAAUGCGUCGUCGGUGGGUGUGCGGUUGAUUUUCAGUCCUACCGAUCCCAAUGCCCAAUGUAUACAAUGCAUUUCUGUCACAUUUUUAUUUAUGUUUUUUAAUGAAUUUUCUAUUCACAUUAAUUCUUCUAAGCUUUACCAUUUUUACACAUGUAAUCAAACAUUUUACAUAUUUUUUUAUUACGAAAAGUUUUUGGACAGCCCAUGGGAUGGGACUCGAAACACCAUCAGUGCCGUCUUGCUGAAUUACCUUUAUAUUUCGACAUUACACAAAAUUACUACAGAAGGGUGUUCUUUGUCAGAAGGGGGUAUUUCUAAUUUAUAGGCAACGCAGCUAAGCAUGUUACCACCCUAAUGUGCAAAUUAUUAAUUAACUGGUGUUAGAAACCGCCAGUGCACCAGUAAUUUUUAGCAAAGUUCGGUGGGACACCAACCGAGUUAUAAGAUUACACAAAAAAUGUUGUGAACUGUUUAUUGCUGACUGCACCCCAAGUUGGACUGACACAAUAGUGUGCACACACCUUCAAAGUGUGAUUGCAGCGCAGGGAUACGUCGGAUCGAAUUAAGGUCUUCGGUGCACUUAUUCCUUGUAAAUGGAGGAAUAAGUGCACCGAAGACGUCGAGACGAUCCGAGGCAAAUGUGCACUUUUAUCACACUUUUUAGGCGUACCAAAAAAAGUGUGAUAGUCCAAUUUGAGAUGUAGUCUGCAAUAUUAUCACUAAUGCAUUGUAAUCGUUGGGUUCAUUACAUUUACCUCUGCAUAAACUUAUAUAAACUUUGCAUAAAUUUACUGCAUUACUUCUGCAUAAAUUGUUUUUUUUUUGUUCGAUCUGAAUUCAGUUUUUUUGUAUAAUAUAUUUAGCUAUUGAAAUUUAUUUAAAUUUAAAUUUAAAUUUUAUAUUUAAAAAAAAUACGGCAACACGGCAGAAUGCACUGCAAUGAUGACGCUCUCGUUCACGCGCUGCUGCAUUGAAAGAAUGAUAGGUUGAUCUGGAGGGAAAAUAUUGGACCAAUCAAUUGAUCCAUGGAAUAAUUUGACCCAUGGUUUGAACAAUCUUCGAGAGGAUUGAUGUAACAAUUUUGAAGGUGGGGAAAUAUUGUAGAGAAAAUUGAAGAAAAAUGCGCUAUGGAGGGGAAAUAUUGCUGUGUGGUUGAUCAAACGGAAGAUAGGGGAAAAGUUGAAUGAUUGAUGUCAAUCUAUUUUUGAACAAUAUUAUACAUUCAAUGUUUCCAUAAAACGACCAACUAUUGAUCAAUAUAUGCACCGUGUGACUGGCGCUAAUGGCGAAUGGUGACGAAUGCUGGUGAGCGAUCGAAGUGGCUAUUAUCAUAACUAGAAGAGAAUUUCUGCAUGUAAUGCAUACGUUUUUAGUGUAUUGUUGUUGAAAUGCUAGAUUAGCAAAGAAAAUAAUAAACAUUUUUUGAAAACUUCAAAUAUUCGUACGCGCAAUUCACUCACGAAUCGCAUCACCUCUCCAUCGCUUGCGAUGCGAUUGUGGACGAAUGUUUAAAUUCCAUGUAUGGCUUCCCACCGUUCGCCGGUGUUUGCUGUCGUCGCUGACAAGCAAACACACAAACUAAAGCGACAACCGUUCGCUGCUGACUGUAUUCGAGUGUGGAAGAAGAUGAAAAGUGGAAAUCAGGAACCCUGCAUCAAAAUGCUAUCAUGAUGCGGUACUUUUGCGAAGCCUGAAUGCUACAAAAUCCUUUUGUGCAUUAUGAUUAAAAUACCCCUUUGCUUAGUAAUCAAAGUAGGUAGUAUCAAUGUUGAGGACAUGCAAAGUUCCAACACAGACAAACAGACGUAACACCUUGAACGAUUUUCAUGGAAAUCCAUCGCCCAGUUCACACUACCAUCACCUAGUGGAAAAGUUGCACGAAUCGCUGUGUUGUGCAAUAUCGUCAACAGAAGGCGCUAGUGUGAAACGUCAAACGCAUAGAAAAACGAUGCGCGCGCCUCUGGAUGUGAAAGCCACAACAAUGAAAAUUUAAAAUGAUCAUUAAAAGCGUGGCCGAUCGAAAUUCCGCAAGUGUUACGUCUGUUUGUCUGUGGUUCCAAUAUGGUCGUAAUAUCUGUUACGUUUAUGUUUGUUUGAGAUUAUAUUAAUUAGAGCUUCAACAUGUGAACACAAUAAAUACGCAGAAAACAAUAUUAAGCUGAAUCCGCCACGCACGCCAACAUCAUUUCGCUCAGUGUAUAGCAUUUUCGAACAUCAACAACCAAUUUAAAUCACCGUCAACCCAAAGGGCCUCCGUAAAGCGACGACGCAAAAGCAGGCAUCGCCGUACCCAAAAAAGAAUAUCGCACACACACAUUCCCAUCGUUGACGGCAGCCGGGUUCAAUCGAUCGUCUUCUGCUACGAUCACGCCAUUCGUCUUUGUCAGUUUCAUCGCGCUGCACGCGACCCGCGAGUGGAGAAAAUUAAAGCGGAAAUUUGAAGCUGUACCGGGAAAAGGGUGCAAUUGCACGAAACCCAUAUCCCGCAAUUGUGCUUCACAGGAAGCGGCUAGACGAUUUUGGGCUGAGUCAGCGGUAGGGAGAAACAUAACCUCCAAAAAACCAGUCGCCGAACGACAGACCAAUCACCCGGUGGCGCAAAAGUGAGGAUAGUUUGGCACAUUCCCAGGAGUGUCCAGCCGGUAAGCCAAAAUGCUCUCAGCAUCUCGAUAUGUGCUCAUUCGUGAAUUCUGCAAUUUAGAUUCGAAGAUCCAGUACUCGCGUGCCACGAGGCCGGAAGCAGACGAGAGACGCCAUCUUGACUGGCAGCGAUCGUUACGUGGGGACAAAGGCCUUCAAGAAGAAGUAGGUUGAAUCUAGAGUGAUUGUCGGAUGAAGGCUAAUUACCUCGUCGCCGUAGGGCCUUUAUUUGCAGUUUUGUUUCUUCUCACGGAGGUGGUGUCGCUCUGCUCAAGCGGGACGGAAUCUCGGCACUGGACGAACGCGGGCAAGGGAAUCGGAAGAUCCGAGUGCGUCAGGCUUCGGAGCGCCCAGCAGAACACAUCAGCGAGCUCUCCCCCGGCACACCGUCCGAUCGCUUGGGGACUCGGCCGAACUCGCUUGGGAGACAGCUCAGCAACACGACCCGAGCACCGCGAUCACGGAUACGACCGGAUUCGGUGGAUCGUAGACAGCCGACAAGCCGAGAGGCAACUUGGCGAGAAUUCCAGGUCUGGUUGUGCCUUCAGCCGGAUUCGCUCGGCGGAAGCACGAUCCAAGGAUAAUACAGCGGAGGCCAGCGGCGAAUAGGGUAGCUCCAACGGAGUCAAUCCACGGAGCCGCCCGGGUCCGCCAAACGAGCUGCAACGGUGAGUAGACGUCACACACGUACUCACACCGCUCGGACAUCGUCUGGGCUCGCUCGGCAGUGCGAGGUGACACGGUGAGAAGGCCGUUGGGACGAGCUUCCGACGAAUCGAGGACGAGCAGGAACAGCGAUGAUGGGUCAGCGGAUGACCAGUGCGUUGGUGGCGGAGCGGCAUGGGGGACGCCCCAAGAAGAUAAGUGCUAGCAUUUAAGAUCAUAUUUGGCGAUUGCCACUCCAAAUGUUUAGCUAGUAAGCCAAUAAGCUAGAGAGGAAGAUGGGUAGACCCAAAUAUAUGUAUUGAUCUGC